GGUCUCCAACUCCUGAGCUCCGGCAAUCCGCCCACCUCGGCCUCCCAAAGUGCAAGGAUUACAGGCGUUUUUUAAAGCUUGACUUCGCAGCUAUAUCGUACAUUCUUAUGUGGCUUGCAGGUUUCCAGGCUAGCGCUGCAGGGCAUGCCCCAGCCUUAUCCUUCAGCUGUGUUCUAUCAUCUGCAACAGCCCAGCCAUGUCGUUCUGCCCUUUUCCCAUCCUGAUUUCUCUGGAGGAUUUAAGAAGCAAACAGAAAUAGAGCCAAGGAUGGAGAAACUGAGGCCACCUGACUUGCCAAGCUGCGACUUCUAAUCCUCUUGGCUACCCCACUGGUCUGGUUCAACCUGAGCUCGCACUGAUUUUUUUGGAUUUGACGUCAAGGCAAACAUCAUUGCAAACUCAAUUCCAGCAUGCCAGCUCCAGAGCACCGUAACCUUUAAAAACUUGGGAUUUCGCCGGGCGCGGUGGCUCACACUUGUAAUCCCAGCACUUCGGGAGGCCGAGGCGGGUGGAUCACCUGAGGUCAGGAAUUUGAGAUCAGCCUGCACAACAUGGUGAAACCCCGUCUCUACUAAUAAUAAAAAAAAAGCCAGGCAUGGUGGCAUGCGCCUGUAGUCCCAGCAACUCGGGAGGCUGUGGCAGGAGAAUUGCUGGAACCCGGGAGGUGGAGGUUGCAGCGAGCCAAGAUCGCACCACUGCGACAGAGAGAGACUCCGUCUCAAAAAAGAAAAAAAAAGACUUGGGAUUUCAGGAGAAAUGUUAUAGUAGCAUUCCAGAGGCCCACGCAUCAGACACAGACAUAUGCACUCUUUGCAGCAGAGGGUAUUGGCUUCACCCUAUCAUAUAAGUUGGCUCCCUAACUUAUAUUCUGCAAAGCCCUGGUGGCUAAUCCUUUACAACCAAACAGGUCACAGCCAAACAGGUCAUCUCAGUUUGAAGAUCAUCAACAAAGGGGUUAGGUUUGCUCUUGUAGUUGUCACUCCCUUGGGAUUGGUAAACAGACCUGCAGAAGUAGUUGUGAAAAGGGAAGCAGAAGUACU
Molecule: long non-coding RNA, 1040 nt
Organism: Homo sapiens (human)
Lineage: Eukaryota; Metazoa; Chordata; Mammalia; Primates; Hominidae
Exons: 3
Source: RefSeq, a predicted model, not a curated record